AGGACUAACGCUGGCGGCGUGGCUAAGACAUGCAAGUCGCACGGGGUAGCAAUACCCAGUGGCGAACGGGAGAGUAAUGAAUCGCUAAUGUACCCCGGACUCUGGGAUAGCUACCCGAAAGGGUAGGUAAUACCAGAUGACAUAACCCUGUCGCAUGACAGGGUUCUACAAAGGUCCGCCGGUCCGGGAGCAGGCGAUUUCGUAUCAGCUUAGGUUGGUGGGUAACCGCCCACGAAGGCGACGACGCGUAGCCGGACUGAGGAGGUUGGCCGGCCUCAGUUGGGACGUGAGACACUCGCCCAGACUCCGUACGGGGGGCUGCAGUAACGAAUCUUCCGCAAUCGACAACGAAAGGUGUAGACGGAGCGACGCCGGCGUGG
RNAcentral lists this ribosomal RNA (380 nucleotides) under uncultured soil bacterium. RNAcentral's name for it is "bacterial SSU rRNA". It matches the Rfam family "Bacterial small subunit ribosomal RNA", at positions 26 to 404 of the family's 1533-position model. The record is from RNAcentral.